RNAcentral lists this ribosomal RNA (432 nucleotides) under uncultured bacterium. Its description in RNAcentral is "partial 16S ribosomal RNA". It matches the Rfam family "Bacterial small subunit ribosomal RNA", at positions 29 to 506 of the family's 1533-position model. The record is from RNAcentral.
AACGAACGCUGGCGGCAUGCCUAACACAUGCAAGUCGAACGAGACCUUCGGGUCUAGUGGCGCACGGGUGCGUAACGCGUGGGAACCUGCCCUUAGGUUCGGAAUAACUCCCCGAAAGGGGUGCUAAUACCGGAUAAUGUCUUCGGACCAAAGAUUUAUCGCCUUUGGAUGGGCCCGCGUUGGAUUAGCUAGUUGGUAGGGUAAAAGCCUACCAAGGCGACGAUCCAUAGCUGGUCUGAGAGGAUGAUCAGCCACACUGGGACUGAGACACGGCCCAGACUGCUACGGGAGGCAGCAGUGGGGAAUAUUGGACAAUGGGCGAAAGCCUGAUCCAGCAAUGCCGCGUGAGUGAUGAAGGCCUUAGGGUUGUAAAGCUCUUUUACCCGGGAUGAUAAUGACAGUACCGGGAGAAUAAGCUCCGGCUAACUCCGU